CCUACGGGAGGCAGCAGUAGGGAAUCUUCGUCAAUGGGCGCAAGCCUGAACGAGCAAUGCCGCGUGAACGAGGAAGGUCUUCGGAUCGUAAAGUUCUGUUGAAGGGGAAAAAGAGCGGAGAGAGGAAAUGGUCUCCGAUUGAUAUUACCCUUCGAGGAAGUCACGGCUAACUACGUGCCAGCAGCCGCGGUAAUACGUAGGUGGCGAGCGUUAUCCGGAAUGAUUGGGCGUAAAGGGUGCGUAGGCGGCCUGCUAAGUCUGGAGUGAAAGGUACCGGCUCAACCGGUAUAGGCUCUGGAAACUGGCGGGCUAGAGAGCAGGAGAGGGCGGUGGAACUCCAUGUGUAGCGGUAAAAUGCGUAGAUAUAUGGAAGAACACCAGUGGCGAAGGCGACCGCCUGGCCUGUUACUGACGCUGAGGCACGAAAGCGUGGGGAGCAAAUAGGAUUAGAUACCCCGGUAGUC
This 464-nucleotide ribosomal RNA is filed under the name uncultured bacterium. RNAcentral describes it as "partial 16S ribosomal RNA". It matches the Rfam family "Bacterial small subunit ribosomal RNA", at positions 338 to 795 of the family's 1533-position model. The record is from RNAcentral.